Molecule: ribosomal RNA, 374 nt
Filed under: uncultured organism
Description: bacterial SSU rRNA
Rfam family: Bacterial small subunit ribosomal RNA
Source: RNAcentral
CGGAGGAUCCAAGCGUUAUCCGGAAUUACUGGGCGUAAAGAGUUGCGCAGGUGGCGAAGUAAGUUGGUAGUGAAAGCGUUCGGCUCAACCGGAUAAACAUUAUCAAAACUGCUUUAGCUAGAGGAUGAGAGAGGUUAUUGGAAUUCCCAGUGUAGGAGUGAAAUCCGUAGAUAUUGGGAGGAACACCGAUGGCGUAGGCAGAUAACUGGCUCAUUCCUGACACUAAGGCACGAAAGCGUGGGGAGCAAACGGGAUUAGAUACCCCGGUAGUCCACGCCGUAAACGAUGGAUGCUAGCUGUUAUAGGUAUCGACCCCUGUAGUAGCGAAGCUAACGCGUUAAGCAUCCCGCCUGUGGAGUACGGUCGCAAGACUA